Molecule: ribosomal RNA, 253 nt
Filed under: uncultured bacterium
Lineage: Bacteria
Description: partial 16S ribosomal RNA
Rfam family: Bacterial small subunit ribosomal RNA
Source: RNAcentral
UACGGGGGGGGCAAGCGUUGUUCGGAAUUACUGGGCGUAAAGGGUCCGUAGGUGGCCAACUAAGUCAGACGUGAAAUCCCUCAGCUUAACUGGGGAACUGCGUCUGAGACUGGAUGGCUCGAGUGCAGGAGAGGAAUGCGGAAUUCCAGGUGUAGCGGUGAAAUGCGUAGAGCUCGGGAAGAACAUCGGUGGCGAAAGCGCUCUGCUGGACUGCAACUGACACUCAGGGACGAAAGCUAGGGGAGCGAAUGGG